UACGUACCGUACGAACGUUAUUCGGAAUUACUGGGCUUAAAGGGUUUGUAGGCGGCUUUGUAAGUGGGGUGUGAAAUCCCUCGGCUCAACCGAGGAAUAGCGCUCCAAACUGCAAGGCUUGAGGGAGACAGGGGUAAGCGGAACUGAUGGUGGAGCGGUGAAAUGCGUUGAUAUCAUCAGGAACACCGGUGGCGAAAGCGGCUUACUGGGUCUCUUCUGACGCUGAGGAACGAAAGCUAGGGUAGCGAACGGG
Molecule: ribosomal RNA, 253 nt
Filed under: uncultured bacterium
Lineage: Bacteria
Description: partial 16S ribosomal RNA
Rfam family: Bacterial small subunit ribosomal RNA
Source: RNAcentral